GGCCCCCUACCAGUGGUAACCUGUUCACUAACGCUUUUUCUUGACUUGGAUCUUUGCCUCGGAGGAUCUUUGCCUCUGCUUUUGGGGAGGAUUUAAGCUAAGGCAGAGAAGUCUGGAGGGCUUAUCUUUGGCAGGAAAAUGUAAA
MicroRNA precursor from Equus caballus (horse), 145 nucleotides. NCBI's taxonomy places the organism in Eukaryota, Metazoa, Chordata, Mammalia, Perissodactyla, Equidae. The record is from Ensembl.